UUGGUUUUUAAAAAAAAAAAAAAAAAAUUUUUUUUUUUUUUUAAUAAAGAGAAUUGUGUUCAAUAUAUAAAUUGAGAUUUUUUUUCAAAGAGAAUUCUGCGAGGUUUUCUGUUUGUUUUUUGGCCUUUUCCUUUCCUGCUUCUAGAGGAAGGCUCUAGCAAUAAGGGCAAUAUGCAGCAGUGUCCUGGGAAUUAAAGGUUCGCUCUACGGGUCCCUGCGCCGUUCGAGAGCUAUACUAAGGCCACAGGACACAGAUGAAAGCCAUUUCCUCGGGAGUUGCUUUUCUGCCAUGCUUACAGACUCUCCGUGCUUUCCCUUAGUCCUGCUUGAAUAAACUGUCGAUGUGAAAUGAUUGCCUUGGUUAUAACCACACAUGAUAAUGGGUUAGUUUGCCUAAGCCUGUGUUUAGACAAGUUCAAGACAAGCAUGUCUAAGAAGAAGCAUUUGAAAAUGAAGGCAACAAGAUCCUGCUUCAACAACUUUUAUAAACGGCGGAAGAGAGCCACGUUGCUAGUUCAUCUCUAGGAUCCGAUCACCUUACUGAACUGACAUAGUAACAAACACCCGUUUGUGCUCUCACGGUUGUAGAAGGAGCUCGUGUCAAGUGGUCGUCACUGAUGAGGAGAUGGUGCUCGACCCGGACAUUUGCAGUACACUGAGGGUUAGUAGAGCGAUAAUACUGCUGGAAAAUAACUAAAUUCAUAAUUAAAUGAACCAGUUUGUUUUUCCGUGCAUGUACUUUUAAAAGUUCUUUUGGUUCAUUGAAAUUGUUUUCUCUAAUUCAGGGUUUGUUAGAUUUUUUUUUUAAUUUGGCUUUUCUAAAAAUGAACCUCAGGGCUUUUGUGAUCCUCCCAGAAAUAAGAUGCAAAAAUGUGUGUGAGAGAGUGCACACAUACAGAAGCACAUCUUUCCGUGGAGGAGGUCAGUAGUUUUCAACAAAUCCUUGGAGGGAGCCUUGACCAAAAAAAAA
Herpailurus yagouaroundi (jaguarundi) is the source of this 970-nucleotide long non-coding RNA. RefSeq lists it as uncharacterized. NCBI's taxonomy places the organism in Eukaryota, Metazoa, Chordata, Mammalia, Carnivora, Felidae. The transcript has 2 exons. The record is from RefSeq and is a predicted model, not a curated record.